GCAGCAUUGCAUUUCGUUGUGCACGAAGACAAUGCCAACAUCCCCCGUAUAUUACAUUAGAGAAGCAAUAUGUCGGCGCGUUUUCACCAGCUAAUGAGUCAAGUAUUCAAAAAAUUUGAGGGUGAUGAUGAUGAAAACAAUGAAUAAAUUAUUGAAUUGUUUGACGAUGAGGCCCAAGAAAAUACCAGCACUUCCAUUGAAGAAAAAAAAAGAGGAAGUUGAGGAAACAACUACCCUUCCCUCAUCUUCUAAGUUCCGCAGUUUGAAGUGUCAGUUACAAAGCAAAAAGGAUGAGUCAGCAAAGGUAGCUACUUCAAAUCGAGUGCUUAGGAAGAGAGUGCGUGUCUUGGAAGGGAUGGUAGAGAAUGAGUCUUCAAAUAAAAAGGCGAUGGAGGAUUUCAGCAAGACCCUUACUUCAGUGGAACACUAUUUUAAGUUGGAGAUAGAGAAGUUGAAAAAACAAUAUGGUGUGUUGAUUGAACAUGUUGAAGGACAUGAAGAAGUGUGUAGUCUUCAUAUCAAUGAAAGAGGUGAGAAUGACAUGUUGCCCUUAUAGGAAUAUAUUACUCCAACUACAAAAUCGACUGAAAUGGAAGCACAAGUCCCUGGUGAUGGCCCCGAAGCCUUCGCAACCAUGCAAGUCCAAAGGGCAGAAAUGGACACUUCAGUUCCUGACAAACAACCGCAGCAAGAAGAUGAGAAGCUUUCUACUCCGAAAACAUUCUAAAUGCUUAGGAAACAUGCAUCUACUGCUUAUGAAAUGAACUUUAGCCACAACCUAUA
Non-coding RNA from Prunus mume (Japanese apricot), 783 nucleotides. The record is from RefSeq and is a predicted model, not a curated record. Lineage: Eukaryota; Viridiplantae; Streptophyta; Magnoliopsida; Rosales; Rosaceae.